AGCGAACGCUGGCGGCAGGCUUAACACAUGCAGGUCGAGCGGGCAUCCUUGUGGUGUCAGCGGCAGACGGGUGAGUAACGCGUGGGAACGUGCCCUUCGGUUCGGAAUAACUCAGGGAAACUUGAGCUAAUACCGGAUACGCCCUUUUGGGGAAAGGUUUACUGCCGAAGGAUCGGCCCGCGUCUGAUUAGCUAGUUGGUGAGGUUAUGGCUCACCAAGGCGACGAUCAGUAGCUGGUCUGAGAGGAUGAUCAGCCACACUGGGACUGAGACACGGCCCAGACUCCUACGGGAGGCAGCAGUGGGGAAUAUUGGACAAUGGGGGCAACCCUGAUCCAGCCAUGCCGCGUGAGUGAUGACGGCCUUAGGGUUGUAAAGCUCUUUUCUCCGGGACGAUAAUGACGGUACCGGAGGAAUAAGCCCCGGCUAACUUCGUG
This 436-nucleotide ribosomal RNA is filed under the name uncultured bacterium. RNAcentral describes it as "partial 16S ribosomal RNA". It matches the Rfam family "Bacterial small subunit ribosomal RNA", at positions 29 to 507 of the family's 1533-position model. The record is from RNAcentral.